This 71-nucleotide transfer RNA is filed under the name Bajacalifornia megalops (bigeye smooth-head). RNAcentral's name for it is "tRNA-His". It matches the Rfam family "tRNA". From Rfam's summary of the family: Transfer RNA (tRNA) molecules are approximately 80 nucleotides in length. Their secondary structure includes four short double-helical elements and three loops (D, anti-codon, and T loops). Lineage: Eukaryota; Metazoa; Chordata; Actinopteri; Alepocephaliformes; Alepocephalidae. The record is from RNAcentral.
GUAGAUAUAGUUUAGUUAUAAAACACUAGGUUGUGAUCCUAGAGAUAGGGGAUCAAGCCCCCUUAUCCACC